GAUGGACGCUGGCGGCGUGCCUAAUACAUGCAAGUCGAGCGAACGGACGAGAAGCUUGCUUCUCUGAUGUUAGCGGCGGACGGGUGAGUAACACGUGGAUAACCUACCUAUAAGACUGGGAUAACUUCGGGAAACCGGAGCUAAUACCGGAUAAUAUUUUGAACCGCAUGGUUCAAAAGUGAAAGACGGUCUUGCUGUCACUUAUAGAUGGAUCCGCGCUGCAUUAGCUAGUUGGUAAGGUAACGGCUUACCAAGGCAACGAUGCAUAGCCGACCUGAGAGGGUGAUCGGCCACACUGGAACUGAGACACGGUCCAGACUCCUACGGGAGGCAGCAGUAGGGAAUCUUCCGCAAUGGGCGAAAGCCUGACGGAGCAACGCCGCGUGAGUGAUGAAGGUCUUCGGAUCGUAAAACUCUGUUAUUAGGGAAGAGCAUAUGUGUAAGUAACUGUGCACAUCUUGACGGUACCUAAUCAGAAAGCCACGGCUAACUACGUG
This 497-nucleotide ribosomal RNA is filed under the name uncultured bacterium. RNAcentral's name for it is "partial 16S ribosomal RNA". It matches the Rfam family "Bacterial small subunit ribosomal RNA", at positions 28 to 507 of the family's 1533-position model. The record is from RNAcentral.